ACGAUAACGAACGAGACCUUAACCUGCUAAAUAGCUAGGCCGGCGUUUGCUGGUCGCGAGCUUCUUAGAGGGACUAUUGGCGUUUAGCCGAUGGAAGUUUGAGGCAAUAACAGGUCUGUGAUGCCCUUAGAUGUUCUGGGCUGCACGCGCGCUACACUGAUGAAGCCAGCGAGUUUUUUCCUUGGCCGGGAGGUCUGGGUAAUCUUGUUAAACUUCAUCGUGCUGGGGAUAGAGCAUUGCAAUUAUUGCUCUUCAACGAGGAAUUCCUAGUAAGCGCAAGUCAUCAGCUUGCGUUGAUUACGUCCCUGCCCUUUGUACACACCGCCCGUCGCUAAUACCGAUUGAAUGGCUA
RNAcentral lists this ribosomal RNA (352 nucleotides) under Eukaryota sp. RNAcentral describes it as "SSU rRNA". It matches the Rfam family "Eukaryotic small subunit ribosomal RNA", at positions 1325 to 1699 of the family's 1831-position model. The record is from RNAcentral.